This 301-nucleotide ribosomal RNA is filed under the name uncultured bacterium. RNAcentral describes it as "partial 16S ribosomal RNA". It matches the Rfam family "Bacterial small subunit ribosomal RNA", at positions 512 to 808 of the family's 1533-position model. The record is from RNAcentral.
CAUAGCCGCGGUAAUACAGAGGGUGCGAGCGUUAAUCGGAUUUACUGGGCGUAAAGCGUGCGUAGGCGGCUUUUUAAGUCGGAUGUGAAAUCCCUGAGCUUAACUUAGGAAUUGCAUUCGAUACUGGGAAGCUAGAGUAUGGGAGAGGAUGGUAGAAUUCCAGGUGUAGCGGUGAAAUGCGUAGAGAUCUGGAGGAAUACCGAUGGCGAAGGCAGCCAUCUGGCCUAAUACUGACGCUGAGGUACGAAAGCAUGGGGAGCAAACAGGAUUAGAUACCCCAGUAGUCCCUGUCUCUUAUACA